RNAcentral lists this ribosomal RNA (471 nucleotides) under uncultured bacterium. Its description in RNAcentral is "bacterial SSU rRNA". It matches the Rfam family "Bacterial small subunit ribosomal RNA", at positions 29 to 524 of the family's 1533-position model. The record is from RNAcentral.
AACGAACGCUGGCGGCAGGCUUAACACAUGCAAGUCGAACGCACCGCAAGGUGAGUGGCAGACGGGUGAGUAACGCGUGGGAACGUGCCCUUCAGUUCGGAAUAACCCAGGGAAACUUGGGCUAAUACCGGAUACGUGCGAGAGCAGAAAGAUUUAUCGCUGAAGGAUCGGCCCGCGUCUGAUUAGCUAGUUGGUGGGGUAAUGGCCCACCAAGGCGACGAUCUGUAGCNGGUCUGAGAGGACGGCCAGCCACACUGGCACUGACACACGGGCCAGACUCCUACGGGAGGCAGCAGUGGGGAAUUUUGGGCAAUGGGCGAAAGCCUGACCCAGCAACGCCGCGUGAGGGAGGAAAUCCUUCGGGAUGUAAACCUCACAAGCAAGGGAAGAGCGCAUGAAGGAGAAUACCCUUCAUGCCCGACGGUACCUUGCGUAAGCCACGGCUAACUACGUGCCAGCAGCCGCAGUAAU